CCGCGUGGAGGAUGACGCAUUUCGGUGUGUAAACUCCUUUUAUAAGGGAAGAUAAUGACGGUACCUUAUGAAUAAGCACCGGCUAACUCCGUGCCAGCAGCCGCGGUAAUACGGAGGGUGCAAGCGUUACUCGGAAUCACUGGGCGUAAAGGAUGCGUAGGCUGGAAAUCAAGUCGAGAGUGAAAUCCAACGGCUCAACCGUUGAACUGCUCUCGAAACUGGUUACCUAGAAUAUGGGAGAGGUAGAUGGAAUUGGUGGUGUAGGGGUAAAAUCCGUAGAUAUCACCAGGAAUACCGAUUGCGAAGGCGAUCUACUGGAACAUUAUUGACGCUGAGGCAUGAAAGCGUGGGGAGCAAACAGGAUUAGAUACCCUGGUAGUCCACGCCCUAAACGAUGCACACUAGUUGUUGCGAUGCUAGUCAUUGCAGUAAUGCACUUAACAGAUUAAGUGUGCCGCCUGGGGAGUACGGUCGCAAGAUUAAAACUCAAAGGAAUAGACGGGGACCCGCACAAGCGGUGGAGCAUGUGGUUUAAUUCGAAGAUACACGAAGAACCUUACCUGGCCUUGAUAUCCUAAGAAUCCUUUAGAGAUAAGGGAGUGCUAGUUUACUAGAACUUAGAGACAGGUGCUGCACGGCUGUCGUCAGCUCGUGUCGUGAGAUGUUGGGUUAAGUCCCGCAACGAGCGCAACCCUCGUGAUUAGUUGCUAACAGUUCGGCUGAGCACUCUAAUCAGACUGCCUUCGCAAGGAGGAGGAAGGUGAGGACGACGUCAAGUCAUCAUGGCCCUUAUGGCCAGGGCUACACACGUGCUACAAUGGCUAGGACAAAGAGACGCGAUACUGCGAAGUGGAGCAAAUCUUAAAACCUAGUCUCAGUUCGGAUUGGAGUCUGCAACUCGACUCCAUGAAGCUGGAAUCGCUAGUAAUCGUAGAUCAGAUAUGCUACGGUGAAUACGUUCCCGGGUCUUGUACUCACGCCCGUCACACCAUGGAGUGAUUCACCCGAAGCGAUACUAACUAGUACGACACGUGGGUCAGCGACUGGG
This 1048-nucleotide ribosomal RNA is filed under the name uncultured Sulfurospirillum sp. RNAcentral describes it as "bacterial SSU rRNA". It matches the Rfam family "Bacterial small subunit ribosomal RNA", at positions 397 to 1479 of the family's 1533-position model. Lineage: Bacteria; Pseudomonadati; Campylobacterota; Epsilonproteobacteria; Campylobacterales; Sulfurospirillaceae. The record is from RNAcentral.